This 126-nucleotide small nucleolar RNA is filed under the name Dasypus novemcinctus (nine-banded armadillo). The record is from RNAcentral. Lineage: Eukaryota; Metazoa; Chordata; Mammalia; Cingulata; Dasypodidae.
UUCCAAAGUGUUGAGUUCAGUUCAGGUAGCUUCCCUGUUCUGUUAUUAAACUUUGGAAAUUGAAACUGGCUUGAUAGAGGUGAUAGAAAUGUACUGUUCUAUUGACUGAUGUCCCAACCUACAAAA